Mycena polygramma is the source of this 91-nucleotide non-coding RNA. The record is from the annotation of a GenBank genome assembly. NCBI's taxonomy places the organism in Eukaryota, Fungi, Basidiomycota, Agaricomycetes, Agaricales, Mycenaceae.
GCCCUCGUGGAUCGUGGUGAUCACCCACUUUGAAUGCUCCAAGCCUCGAAACGUUUGAUGGGAGAUGUGGGUUCGAUUCCCACCGAGAGUA